AUUGCUCACUCUCCCUCAAGGGCUUCUCAGUUCAAGGCAAUGAUAUUAUACCAAGGUCCUUAGUUUUAAGGGGCACUUUGGUAUGUUUUAGGCUAUGAAGCUCGUUGGGGGGGAAUGACCAA
RNAcentral lists this microRNA precursor (122 nucleotides) under Prunus dulcis (almond). RNAcentral describes it as "sRNA ncRNA". Lineage: Eukaryota; Viridiplantae; Streptophyta; Magnoliopsida; Rosales; Rosaceae. The record is from RNAcentral.